This 253-nucleotide ribosomal RNA is filed under the name uncultured bacterium. RNAcentral's name for it is "partial 16S ribosomal RNA". It matches the Rfam family "Bacterial small subunit ribosomal RNA", at positions 524 to 776 of the family's 1533-position model. The record is from RNAcentral.
UACGGAGAGUGCAAGCGUUGUCCGGAAUCACUGGGCGUAAAGGGCGCGUAGGCGGCUCAUGAAGGCUGUGGUGAAAGUCCGGGGCUCAACCUCGGAUCGGCCGUGGCGACUCGUGGGCUGGAGCACUGUAGAGGCGGGUGGAAUUCCGGGUGUAGCGGUGGAAUGCGUAGAGAUCCGGAAGAACACCAGUGGCGAAGGCGGCCCGCUGGGCAGUGGCUGACGCUGAGGCGCGACAGCGUGGGGAGCAAACAGG